GACGAACGCUGGCGGCGUGCUUAACACAUGCAAGUCGAACGGAAGGGCCCUGCUUUUGUGGGGUGCUCGAGUGGCGAACGGGUGAGUAACACGUGAGUAACCUGCCCCUGACUUUGGGAUAACUUCAGGAAAAUGGGGCUAAUACCGGAUAGGAGAUCCUGCAGCAUGGGGGGGGUUGGAAAGUUUCGGCGGUUGGGGAUGGACUCGCGGCUUAUGGGCUUGUUGGUGGGGUAGGGGAUGACCAAGGCUAUGACGGGUAGCCUGCCUGGGAGGGCGGACGGCCACCAGAGUCCUGCGGUACGCACCAGACGCGAACCUUCCGCAACGGUGGAGAGUAUUACGCAGUAGGCGGGAGCCUGUUACGACAACGCCCCGAGCGGGAUGCCGUCCUUCGAGUUGUAAACCACUUUCGCCUGUACCGAGGCGUGAGUGACGGUAAUGGGUAAAGAAGCACCGGCUAACUACGUG
This 468-nucleotide ribosomal RNA is filed under the name uncultured bacterium. Its description in RNAcentral is "partial 16S ribosomal RNA". It matches the Rfam family "Bacterial small subunit ribosomal RNA", at positions 28 to 507 of the family's 1533-position model. The record is from RNAcentral.